UAGGAAAGUCGUAACAAGGUAGCCGUAAGUCGUAACAAGGUAACCGUAAGUCGUAACAAGGUAACCGUAGAGUUUGAUCAUGGCUCAGAUAUAAGUCGUAACAAGUAACCGUAAGUCGUAACAAGGUAACCGUAGAGUUUGAUCAUGGCUCAGGAAAGUCGUAACAAGGUAACCGUAGAGUUUGAUCCUGGCUCAGGAAAGUCGUAACAAGGUAACCGUA
RNAcentral lists this ribosomal RNA (220 nucleotides) under uncultured bacterium. RNAcentral describes it as "partial 16S ribosomal RNA". The record is from RNAcentral.